RNAcentral lists this ribosomal RNA (269 nucleotides) under uncultured prokaryote. RNAcentral describes it as "partial 16S ribosomal RNA". It matches the Rfam family "Bacterial small subunit ribosomal RNA", at positions 524 to 792 of the family's 1533-position model. The record is from RNAcentral.
UACGGAGGGAGCGAGCGUUAAUCGGAAUUACUGGGCGUAAAGCGCGCGUAGGCGGCUUUGUAAGUCGGAUGUGAAAGCCCAGGGCUUAACCCUGGAAUUGCAUUCGAUACUGCAUAGCUAGAGUAUGGUAGAGGGAAGUGGAAUUUCCGGUGUAGCGGUGAAAUGCGUAGAUAUCGGAAGGAACACCAGUGGCGAAGGCGACUUCCUGGGCCAAUACUGACGCUGAGGUGCGAAAGCGUGGGGAGCAAACAGGAUUAGAUACCCCCGUA